Molecule: long non-coding RNA, 605 nt
Organism: Leopardus geoffroyi (Geoffroy's cat)
Lineage: Eukaryota; Metazoa; Chordata; Mammalia; Carnivora; Felidae
Exons: 3
Source: RefSeq, a predicted model, not a curated record
CAAAAUCCUUUAUAAACUAGAAGGUGUCAUACAUAAUUUUUUUUCCUCUGCUUUCUUCGUGUCUCCCAGUCUGGAUACACUCAGGUUUGCCCUAUGACACAUCCUGCAACUCAUUGUACUCUGAUGCCCUCAUUUAAACUACAACACAUGGCAGCCAUCAAGAACAAUGGUUUCCUCUUACCUCUUGGAUCUUUCUUCUGACUUCUCCUCGUCCUGGCUCAGGAACUCACCUCCACUCCCAGAACCACCUGUCUGGUUUCUCUGCCUCUAGGCCUGCCCUGCCAACCAGUGUGAUAUUUCUUAGAGGGAAAUCGGAUCCUGCCUCAAGUCUACAAAUGUGACACCCUCCUGCAGCUCUUCGGAUGUCAACCAAAAUGUCAUUCCACCGGAGUCUUCCCUGACCACUGGAUUUCAAGUUUUACCCUGGUUAUUUCCUUUCAUGGUCUCCCUCUGUCUCUCUCUCUCUGUCUUUAAUUUCUCUAUAAAUGUGUUGUUCUUUGUUUAUGUUAUAGAACCCAGAGUUCUAAGCCACAUCUUUGAAUUAUUCUGUCCCAUGUACAUGUGAGAUGUGAGAUAUACAUGUUAAUAAACUUAGGUUUGGGGAG